This 69-nucleotide transfer RNA is filed under the name Ictidomys tridecemlineatus (thirteen-lined ground squirrel). RNAcentral describes it as "Spermophilus tridecemlineatus (thirteen-lined ground squirrel) tRNA". It matches the Rfam family "tRNA". Rfam says of the family: Transfer RNA (tRNA) molecules are approximately 80 nucleotides in length. Their secondary structure includes four short double-helical elements and three loops (D, anti-codon, and T loops). The record is from Rfam by way of RNAcentral. Lineage: Eukaryota; Metazoa; Chordata; Mammalia; Rodentia; Sciuridae.
GGAUUUGUGGCUCAGUGGUAGAGCACUUGCCUAGCAUGUGUGAGGCACUGGGUUCAAUUCUCAGUACCA